Molecule: signal recognition particle RNA, 282 nt
Filed under: Cebus imitator (Panamanian white-faced capuchin)
Lineage: Eukaryota; Metazoa; Chordata; Mammalia; Primates; Cebidae
Description: Metazoan signal recognition particle RNA (ENSCCAG00000010207.1)
Rfam family: Metazoan signal recognition particle RNA
About the family: The signal recognition particle (SRP) is a universally conserved ribonucleoprotein. It is involved in the co-translational targeting of proteins to membranes.
Source: Rfam by way of RNAcentral
GCUGGCACAGUGGUACAUACCUGUAGUCCCAGCUACUCGGGAGGCUGAUUGCUUGAGCCCAGGAGUUCAGGGCUGUAGUGCCCUAUGCCAAUUGAGUGUCCAAGGUAAGUUCAGCGUCAACGUGGUGACCACUUGGGGGUGGGGGACCACCAGGUUGCCUAAGGAGGGGGAAACUGACCGAGGCUGGAAACAAAGCAGGUCAGAACUCCCACGCUCAUUAGUAGUUGGGAUCUUGCCCCAUGCAACCACUGCACUCCAGGGUGGGCAAUGUAGCAAGACACU